AGAAGAACUGGCCAAGACCUGGUCCCAGCAGACUGAGGAGAGCACCUCAGUGGUCACCUCACAGUUUGCUGAGGUCGGAGCUGCUAAGA
Molecule: microRNA precursor, 89 nt
Organism: Otolemur garnettii (small-eared galago)
Lineage: Eukaryota; Metazoa; Chordata; Mammalia; Primates; Galagidae
Source: Ensembl